This 580-nucleotide ribosomal RNA is filed under the name uncultured rumen bacterium. RNAcentral describes it as "bacterial SSU rRNA". It matches the Rfam family "Bacterial small subunit ribosomal RNA", at positions 173 to 734 of the family's 1533-position model. The record is from RNAcentral.
AGCUCCUUUGAUGACAUCUUCGAAGGAGGAAAGGUGGCCUCUGAAAAUGCUACCGGCACAGGAUGGACCCGCGUCUGAUUAGAUAGUUGGUGAGGUAACGGCUCACCAAGUCGACGAUCAGUAGCCGGCCUGAGAGGGUGGCCGGCCACAUUGGGACUGAGACACGGCCCAGACUCCUACGGGAGGCAGCAGUGGGGAAUCUUCCGCAAUGGGCGCAAGCCUGACGGAGCAACGCCGCGUGAGUGAAGAAGGCCUUCGGGUCGUAAAGCUCUGUCUUAAGGGAAGAACAACAGUAGUGAAAACAUUGCUAUUGUCUGACGGUACCUUAGGAGGAAGCUCCGGCUAACUACGUGCCAGCAGCCGCGGUAAUACGUAGGGAGCGAGCGUUGUCCGGAAUUACUGGGCGUAAAGGGCGUGUAGGCGGAGAUCUAAGCAGGGUGUGAAAACUAUGGGCUCAACCCGUAGCCUGCAUUCUGAACUGGAUCCCUUGAGGGCAGGAGAGGAAAGUGGAAUUCCUAGUGUAGCGGUGAAAUGCGUAGAUAUUAGGAGGAACACCAGUGGCGAAGGCGACUUUCUGGAC